This 465-nucleotide ribosomal RNA is filed under the name uncultured bacterium. RNAcentral describes it as "partial 16S ribosomal RNA". It matches the Rfam family "Bacterial small subunit ribosomal RNA", at positions 28 to 507 of the family's 1533-position model. The record is from RNAcentral.
GACGAACGCUGGCGGCGUGCUUAACACAUGCAAGUCGAACGGAAAGGCCCUGCUUGCAGGGUACUCGAGUGGCGAACGGGUGAGUAACACGUGGGUGAUCUGCCCUGUACUUCGGGAUAAGCCUGGGAAACUGGGUCUAAUACCGGAUAGGAGCCAUUUUUAGUGUGGUGGUUGGAAAGUUUUUUCGGUGUAGGAUGAGCUCGCGGCCUAUCAGCUUGUUGGUGGGGUAAUGGCCUACCAAGGCGGCGACGGGUAGCCGGCCUGAGAGGGUGGACGGCCACAUUGGGACUGAGAGACGGCCCAGACUCCUACGGGAGGCAGCAGUGGGGAAUAUUGCACAAUGGGCGCAAGCCUGAUGCAGCGACGCCGCGUGGGGGAUGACGGCCUUCGGGUUGUAAACUCCUUUCGCUAGGGACGAAGCUUUUUGUGACGGUACCUAGAUAAGAAGCACCGGCUAACUACGUG